AUUGAACGCUGGCGGCAUGCCUUACACAUGCAAGUCGAACGGUAACAGGUCUUCGGAUGCUGACGAGUGGCGAACGGGUGAGUAAUACAUCGGAACGUGCCUAGUAGUGGGGGAUAACUACUCGAAAGAGUGGCUAAUACCGCAUGAGAUCUACGGAUGAAAGCAGGGGAUCGCAAGACCCUGUGCUACUAGAGCGGCCGAUGGCAGAUUAGGUAGUUGGUGGGAUAAAAGCUUACCAAGCCGACGAUCUGUAGCUGGUCUGAGAGGACGAUCAGGCACACUGGAACUAAGGCACGGCCCAGACUCCUACGGGAGGCAGCAGUGGGGAAUUUUGGACAAUGUGCGAAAGCCUGAUCCAGCAAUGCCGCGUGCAGGAUGAAGGCCUUCGGGUUGUAAACUGCUUUUGUACGGAACGAAAAGCCCCGGGUUAAUACCCUGGGGUCAUGACGGUACCGUAAGAAUAAGCACCGGCUAACUACGUGCCAGCCGCCGCCGUAA
This 498-nucleotide ribosomal RNA is filed under the name uncultured bacterium. Its description in RNAcentral is "partial 16S ribosomal RNA". It matches the Rfam family "Bacterial small subunit ribosomal RNA", at positions 30 to 523 of the family's 1533-position model. The record is from RNAcentral.